AUUGAACGCUGGCGGCAGGCCUAACACAUGCAAGUCGAACGAGUGGCGGACGGGUGAGUAAUGUCUGGGAAACUGCCCGAUGGAGGGGGAUAACUACUGGAAACGGUAGCUAAUACCGCAUACCAUCGGAUGUGCCCAGAUGGGAUUAGCUAGUAGGUGGGGUAACGGCUCACCUAGGAGACGAGCCCUAGCGGGUCUGAGAGGAUGACCAGCCACUCUGGAACGGAGACACGGUCCCGACUCCUACGGGAGGCAGCAGUGGGGAAUAUUGCACAAUGGGCGCAAGCCUGAUGCAGCCAUGCCGCGUGUGUGAAGAAGGCCUUCGGGUUGUAAGGCACUUUCAGCGGGGAGGCGUUACCCGCAGAAGAAGCACCGGCUAACUCCGUGCCAGCAGCCGCGGUAAUUC
Molecule: ribosomal RNA, 406 nt
Filed under: uncultured bacterium
Lineage: Bacteria
Description: partial 16S ribosomal RNA
Rfam family: Bacterial small subunit ribosomal RNA
Source: RNAcentral